This 111-nucleotide non-coding RNA is filed under the name Frankia sp. RNAcentral describes it as "SAM-IV sequence". It matches the Rfam family "SAM (S-adenosyl methionine) riboswitch aptamer". Rfam says of the family: SAM-IV is a mRNA element that regulates gene expression via direct sensing of S-adenosylmethionine (SAM or AdoMet). SAM-IV riboswitches share conserved nucleotide positions with the previously described SAM-I riboswitches sequence analysis and molecular recognition experiments suggest that SAM-I and SAM-IV riboswitches share similar ligand binding sites, but have different scaffolds. The record is from RNAcentral. RNAcentral also lists the same sequence under 1 other name. Lineage: Bacteria; Bacillati; Actinomycetota; Actinomycetes; Frankiales; Frankiaceae.
GGGCCCGAACGUCAGCGUCAAGUCCUGGUUCGCUGGUCGGUGACCCUCGUUCACGGUCGGGUGUUCCAGAUGAGAGCCCCGCGCGACGAACCAGUCGCGCGGGCGGGUGUC